UACGGGAGGCAGCAGUGAGGAAUAUUGGACAAUGGCCGAGAGGCUGAUCCAGCCAUGCCGCGUGCGGGAGGACGGCCCUAUGGGUUGUAAACCGCUUUUGUCAGGGGGCAAUAAGGUCUACGUGUAGACUGACGAGAGUACCUGGCGAAUAAGCAUCGGCUAACUCCGUGCCAGCAGCCGCGGUAAU
This 187-nucleotide ribosomal RNA is filed under the name uncultured rumen bacterium. Its description in RNAcentral is "partial 16S ribosomal RNA". It matches the Rfam family "Bacterial small subunit ribosomal RNA", at positions 340 to 524 of the family's 1533-position model. The record is from RNAcentral.